Molecule: transfer RNA, 56 nt
Filed under: Bos taurus (domestic cattle)
Lineage: Eukaryota; Metazoa; Chordata; Mammalia; Artiodactyla; Bovidae
Also listed under: 4 other names
Rfam family: tRNA
About the family: Transfer RNA (tRNA) molecules are approximately 80 nucleotides in length.
Source: Rfam by way of RNAcentral
UGUCUGAGUGUUAAAGAAUCUGACUGCAAUGCAGGAGACCCAGGUUCAAUCCCUGG